This 508-nucleotide ribosomal RNA is filed under the name uncultured bacterium. Its description in RNAcentral is "partial 16S ribosomal RNA". It matches the Rfam family "Bacterial small subunit ribosomal RNA", at positions 28 to 507 of the family's 1533-position model. The record is from RNAcentral.
GACGAACGCUGGCGGCGUGCUUAACACAUGCAAGUCGAACGGGCCUUGUCCCCUUUUUUUUUGGGGGUGGGGUUAGUGGCGAACGGGUGAGUAACACGUGAGUAACCUGCCCCUCACUUCUGGAUAACCGCUUGAAAGGGUGGCUAAUACGGGGUGUUCUGGCCUGCUCGCAUGGGUGGGUUUGGAAAGAUUCGACCGGUUUUGGUGGUUUUGGUGGGGGAUGGGCUCGCGGCCUAUCAGCUUGUUGGUGGGGUGAUGGCCUGCCAAGGCUUUGUCGGGUAGCCGGCCUGAGAGGGUGGGCGGUCACACUGGGACUGAGACACGGCCCAGACUCCUACGGGAGGCAGCAGUGGGGAAUAUUGCACAAUGGGCGCAAGCCUGAUGCAGCGACGCCGCGUGAGGGAUGGAGGCCUUCGGGUUGUGAACCUCUUUCGCCAGUGAAGAAGGUCCUGCUCUUUGUGGUGGGGUUGACGGUAGCUGGGUUAAUGAAGCGCCGGCUAACUACGUG